GUCCACGCCCUAAACGAUGUCGACUGGUUGUUGGGGGUUUGACACCUUCAGUAACGAAGCUAACGCGUGAAGUCGACCGCCUGGGGAGUACGGCCGCAAGGUUAAAACUCAAAGGAAUUGACGGGGACCCGCACAAGCGGUGGAUUAUGUGGAUUAAUUCGAUGCAACGCGAAAAACCUUACCUACCCUUGACAUGUCCUGGAGCCCGCAGAGAUGCGGGUGUGCCCGAAAGGGAACGGGAACACAGGUGCUGCAUGGCUGUCGU
This 265-nucleotide ribosomal RNA is filed under the name uncultured bacterium. Its description in RNAcentral is "partial 16S ribosomal RNA". It matches the Rfam family "Bacterial small subunit ribosomal RNA", at positions 793 to 1055 of the family's 1533-position model. The record is from RNAcentral.